Molecule: non-coding RNA, 115 nt
Organism: Triticum aestivum (bread wheat)
Lineage: Eukaryota; Viridiplantae; Streptophyta; Magnoliopsida; Poales; Poaceae
Source: Rfam
UACAUACUCCCUUCGUUUCAAAUUACUCCUUGCAGAAAUGGAUGUAUCUAGAACUAAAAUAUAUCUAGAUACAUCCAUAUCUGUGACAAGUAAUUUGAAACGGAGGGAGUAGCAA